GGGGAAUAUUGCACAAUGGAGGAAACUCUGAUGCAGCGAUGCCGCGUGAGGGAAGAAGGUUUUCGGAUUGUAAACCUCUGUGUACAGGGACGAUAAUGACGGUACCUGUUCAGAAAGCUCCGGCUAACUACGUGCCAGCAGCCGCGGUAAUACGUAGGGAGCGAGCGUUGUCCGGAAUUACUGGGUGUAAAGGGAGUGUAGGCGGGACGGCAAGUCAGAUGUGAAAUUUAGGGGCUCAACCCCUGACCUGCAUUUGAAACUGCUGUUCUUGAGUGAAGUAGAGGUAAGCGGAAUUCCUAGUGUAGCGGUGAAAUGCGUAGAUAUUAGGAGGAACAUCAGUGGCGAAGGCGGCUUACUGGGCUUUAACUGACGCUGAGGCUCGAAAGCGUGGGGAGCAAACAGGAUUAGAUACCCUGGUAGUCCACGCCGUAAACGAUGAUUACUAGGUGUGGGGGGACUGACCCCUUCCGUGCCGCAGUUAACACAAUAAGUAAUCCACCUGGGGAGUACGGUCGCAAGACUGAAACUCAAAGGAAUUGACGGGGGCCCGCACAAGCAGUGGAGUAUGUGGAUUAAUUCGAAGCAACGCGAAGAACCUUACCAGGUCUUGACAUCGAUCGAAUCCGAAAGAGAUUUUGGAGUGCCCUUCGGGGAACGUGAAGACAGGUGGUGCAUGGUUGUCGUCAGCUCGUGUCGUGAGAUGUUGGGUUAAGUCCCGCAACGAGCGCAACCCUUAUGUUUAGUUGCUACGCAAGAGCACUCUAGACAGACUGCCGUUGACAAAACGGAGGAAGGUGGGGAUGACGUCAAAUCAUCAUGCCCCUUAUGACCUGGGCCUCACACGUACUACAAUGGCUGUAAACAGAGGGAAGCUAAGCAGUGAUGUGGAGCAAAUCCCCAAAAGCAGUCUUAGUUCGGAUUGUAGGCUGCAACCCGCCUACAUGAAGUCGGAAUUGCUAGUAAUCGCGGAUCAGCAUGCCGCGGUGAAUACGUUCCCG
This 998-nucleotide ribosomal RNA is filed under the name uncultured bacterium. RNAcentral's name for it is "bacterial SSU rRNA". It matches the Rfam family "Bacterial small subunit ribosomal RNA", at positions 356 to 1376 of the family's 1533-position model. The record is from RNAcentral.